GUUGUGGCUCAGCGGUAGAGCACUCGCCUAGCACAUGUGGCCCUCAGUUCAAUCCUCAGCACAACA
Molecule: transfer RNA, 66 nt
Filed under: Marmota monax (woodchuck)
Lineage: Eukaryota; Metazoa; Chordata; Mammalia; Rodentia; Sciuridae
Description: tRNA.Ala
Source: RNAcentral